AACGAACGCUGGCGGCAGGCCUAACACAUGCAAGUCGAACGGGACCUUCGGGUCUAGUGGCGGACGGGUGAGUAACGCGUGGGAACGUGCCCUUUGGUUCGGAAUAGCCUCGGGAAACUGGGAGUAAUACCGGAUACGGUCGAGAGACGAAAGAUUUAUCGCCGAAGGAUCGGCCCGCGUUGGAUUAGGUAGUUGGUGGGGUAAAGGCCUACCAAGCCGACGAUCCAUAGCUGGUUUGAGAGGAUGAUCAGCCACACUGGGACUGAGACACGGCCCAGACUCCUACGGGAGGCAGCAGUGGGGAAUAUUGGACAAUGGGCGAAAGACCUGAUCCAGCAAUGCCGCGUGAGUGAUGAAGGCCUUAGGGUUGUAAAGCUCUUUACCCGGGUAUGUAUAAUGACAGUACCGGGAGAAU
RNAcentral lists this ribosomal RNA (415 nucleotides) under uncultured bacterium. RNAcentral's name for it is "bacterial SSU rRNA". It matches the Rfam family "Bacterial small subunit ribosomal RNA", at positions 29 to 487 of the family's 1533-position model. The record is from RNAcentral.